CUGAUCGAAGGAAUAGUUGCGAGGUUUCUUUUUGCUAGGUCGGGAAGAAGAAGCUAUUGGAUCUCUAGUUGUGGCGGAUCUACCUUUUCCAAAAGGAGAGUUCCGGGUUAGUAUGAUCUCAGUGACGGUUUGCGGUGGGGUGGGGUUCGCGAGCUCCAACCUAAGUAUUGAUGGCAUGUCUUAGUCGGAAACGAGCCGUCCUUUCUAGCGUUGAAUUUAGU
RNAcentral lists this long non-coding RNA (221 nucleotides) under Capsella rubella. Its description in RNAcentral is "long non-coding RNA (CRUB_LNC000051)". The record is from RNAcentral. Lineage: Eukaryota; Viridiplantae; Streptophyta; Magnoliopsida; Brassicales; Brassicaceae.